AUUUUUUUUUUUUUCUAUUCACACCUCAGUUUUUCCUUCCUUCCUUCAGUAUAACAUACACUCCCAGGUCUUUCUCUGCCUCUGUGGUGGAUAGUGGAGUGUUUCCCAUGUGGUGUUGGUGUGCUGGAUAUCCCUUCACUGGUAACCUGGUAACAUACACUCCCAGGUCUUUCUCUGCCUCUGUGGUGGAUAGUGGAGUGUUUCCCAUGUGGUAUUGGUGUGCUGGAUAUCCCUUCACUGGUAGCCUGGUAACAUACACUCCCAGGUCUUUCUCUGCCUCUGUGGUGGAUAGUGGAGUGUUUCCCAUGUGGUAUUGAUGUGCUGGAUAUCCCUUCACUGGUAGCCUGGUAACAUACACUCCCAGGUCUUUCUCUGCCUCUGUGGUGGAUAGUGGAGUGUUUCCCAUGUGGUAUUGGUGUGCUGGAUAUCCCUUCACUGGUAGCCUGGUAACAUACACUCCCAGGUCUUUCUCUGCCUCUGUGGUGGAUAGUGGAGUGUUUCCCAUGUGGUAUUGAUGUGCUGGAUAUCCCUUCACUGGUAGCCUGGUAACAUACACUCCCAGGUCUUUCUCUGCCUCUGUGGUGGAUAGUGGAGUGUUUCCCAUGUGGUAUUGGUGUGCUGGAUAUCCCUUCACUGGUAGCCUGGUAACACACUCCCAGGUCUUUCUCUGCCUCUGUGGUGGAUAGUGGAGUGUUUCCCAUGUGGUAUUGGUGUGCUGGAUAUCCCUUCACUGGUAGCCUGGUAACAUACACUCCCAGGUCUUUCUCUGCCUCUGUGGUGGAUAGUGGAGUGUUUCCCAUGUGGUAUUGGUGUGCUGGAUAUCCCUUCACUGGUAGCCUGGUAACAUACACUCCCAGGUCUUUCUCUGCCUCUGUGGUGGAUAGUGGAGUGUUUCCCAUGUGGUAUUGGUGUGCUGGAUAUCCCUUCACUGGUAGCCUGGUAACAUACACUCCCAGGUCUUUCUUUGCCUCUGUGGUGGAUAGUGGAGUGUUUCCCUUGUGGUAUUGGUGUGCUGGAUAUCCCCUCCCAAGGUGCAGGACUUUACAUUUUUCAUCAUUGAAUUGUAGCAGCCACUUUUUGCUUCAUUCCUGUAGCUUGGUGAAGUCUUCUGGUAGGAAAUGCACAGUCAAGGGGUUAAGCGUCUGC
This is a long non-coding RNA of Eriocheir sinensis (Chinese mitten crab), 1146 nucleotides long. RefSeq lists it as uncharacterized. Lineage: Eukaryota; Metazoa; Arthropoda; Malacostraca; Decapoda; Varunidae. The transcript has 5 exons. The record is from RefSeq and is a predicted model, not a curated record.